Molecule: ribosomal RNA, 200 nt
Filed under: uncultured bacterium
Lineage: Bacteria
Description: partial 16S ribosomal RNA
Rfam family: Bacterial small subunit ribosomal RNA
Source: RNAcentral
GAUGAACGCUAGCGGCAGGCUUAACACAUGCAAGUCGAGGGGUAUAGUUCUUCGGAGCUAGAGACCGGCGCACGGGUGCGUAACGCGUAUGCAAUCUGCCUUUCACAGAGGGAUAGCCCAGAGAAAUUUGGAUUAAUACCUCAUAGUAUGUAUGAAUGGCAUCAUUUAUACAUUAAAGUCACAACGGUGAAAGAUGAGCA